CGGACGGGUGAGUAAUACUUAGGAAUCUGCCCAUUAGUGGGGGACAACUAGAAGAAAUUCUAGCUAAUACCGCAUACGCCCUACGGGGGAAAGCGGGGGAUCUUCGGACCUCGCGCUAAUGGAUGAGCCUAAGUCGGAUUAGCUUGUUGGUGAGGUAAAGGCUCACCAAGGCGACGAUCCGUAGCUGGUCUGAGAGGACGAUCAGUCACACUGGGACUGAGACACGGCCCAG
This 232-nucleotide ribosomal RNA is filed under the name uncultured bacterium. RNAcentral describes it as "partial 16S ribosomal RNA". It matches the Rfam family "Bacterial small subunit ribosomal RNA", at positions 99 to 334 of the family's 1533-position model. The record is from RNAcentral.